Long non-coding RNA from Nymphaea colorata (pocket water lily), 576 nucleotides. RefSeq lists it as uncharacterized. The transcript is spliced from 2 exons. Lineage: Eukaryota; Viridiplantae; Streptophyta; Magnoliopsida; Nymphaeales; Nymphaeaceae. The record is from RefSeq and is a predicted model, not a curated record.
UCCAAGGAGGCGGCCACCAACGUAUCUCAACUACCAAGUGACGCCAUCCAUGUUGAUAAUAUAUUUUCCACUCCAGCUCCCCCCACUUCCCCAAACCACUGUAAAUAAGCUCAAGUUCGGCGAUCUUCGCAUCAUAGCCUGUACACGUUUCUUCUACUGAAGAGAUGGACCGUAAGUUUAAUACAUUGCCCCUGCUCUUUCUUCUCUUGGUCAUCCUCUUCUCCGCCUUCUCCCCAGUCCUCGGAGAGAAACAAGGGAAAGAUCAGAUUUAUUAUGGCCCCCCAGGCGGCGGCUACGGUUGUGCGCGCUACUGUGGCAGCGUUUGCUGCCCUUCUGCAGACCAGUCCGUUCAUUCUGUUCAGGAGAAUACCCCCGCCAACGAGUUCAAAGACGACAAGCAUCGCUGAGGAAGACACUGUUGCCACCACUGCUACGGCCACGGUUGCUACAUUGAAAUUCAGAGCAUGCUGGACUUGAAGGGCAGUCCACGUUCCUGGAACCCGAAGUUGUUUUAUCUAUGUUUUUCAUAUAUGUAAGGAAAAGCAGCAACAUCGAAUAAAAGCAGUCAUGCUAGUA